RNAcentral lists this long non-coding RNA (236 nucleotides) under Gossypium barbadense (sea-island cotton). Its description in RNAcentral is "long non-coding RNA (GBAR_LNC017026)". The record is from RNAcentral. Lineage: Eukaryota; Viridiplantae; Streptophyta; Magnoliopsida; Malvales; Malvaceae.
AAAAAGCUCCUUUUUUUCAAAAUUUACCGAAAUGGGCCGAUUUUUUGAUUAUUUACCGGAAUGAACCAUUUUCCGGGAAAUCGCGCCCACGUCAGCGCGAUGUCAGGGUAAAUGGCAGGGGGUUGAGGACGCGAUUUCCUUCCACCUCAGCAGAUCGCGCUGAUGUGGACGCGACCUUCUCCGCGCGUGAACAGUACCCCUAACAGUCAAAAUAUAUAUAUAUAUAUAAAUACCCC